GACUGAGAUGGCUCAGUUGGUAGAGCAUGAGACUCUAAUCUUAGGGUUGUGGAUUUGAACCCCCAUUGGGCA
Podarcis lilfordi (Lilford's wall lizard) is the source of this 72-nucleotide non-coding RNA. NCBI's taxonomy places the organism in Eukaryota, Metazoa, Chordata, Lepidosauria, Squamata, Lacertidae. The record is from the annotation of a GenBank genome assembly.